Long non-coding RNA from Jaculus jaculus (lesser Egyptian jerboa), 1531 nucleotides. RefSeq lists it as uncharacterized. The record is from RefSeq and is a predicted model, not a curated record. Lineage: Eukaryota; Metazoa; Chordata; Mammalia; Rodentia; Dipodidae. The transcript is spliced from 2 exons.
ACCAAUCGGCGCCCGCCGGCCAAGGGGCCUCGCCCAUCAAAAGAAAGCUGUGGACAUAGACGACGAAUCCCCCCGCAGGCAGGGUUCCGGGACUGUUUCCUCUUCUCUUUCCGUUUCCGGAGGCGGGACAAGUGGGCUGGAUCUGAGGGAAUUUGUGCCAGCGAAGCUCGCUGAGCGGUAGCGCGCUCUCUUAGGUAUUUUAGUGUUCGUUGUUUGUCUAGCUACCUCCCUUUAAGGAAAAAAGAGACUGGAUUCUGUUGGCAGCACUUACAGUAAUAAUAAACAAGAAAAUGGAAGAGGCACUCACUUAGCCAUGAUGACAUCUCCAUGGCAACCAGAGGCCAAGCCCGGAGACCGCGCUGGUAUGCAAAUGAGCUAACCCUAAGGUGGCUUUCAGCAGCUACAGUAACAGAGGAGAAAAUGGUAUAAAGACCCCAGCGAAAGCUCAGGACUCUGUCACUCAGCUCGGAGAGACAGACUGCACGUCCCCGGAGGAGAUGGGAGCCCUUGGCGGCGGUCAGACACGGAGCGGAGCCGGCGGCGGAGGGCUGACCCCGGGUGUCGUCGCCGGAAUCCCUCGUGCCUGGUUAUGGGAACACCAUCUGGACAACAAGAAGAGAAGGCGAUUUGCAGAUGACUGAAGUGACUGGGAGAUACUUGCCAUGAUUAUUAUUGGAAAACUUCUUUGUGUUGUGUGGAUCCUUUGCUUUUUAGUUAAUUGACGGAAAAGAACCCACUAUCCCUGUUAGAACAUUAGAGGACUACUGUCUUAGAUCUCUUGUAAGGCCAUUUACAAAAUUUUGCUUGUUUCAACUAUUUGCCUAUUUGACUUGGAAAUUGUACCAACAGUUUUUUAUCCAAUAUACACUGUUGAAACAUCCUUGUAAUGUGAUGCAUUGAGUUGUUUUGAAUUGUUGUUAUGCUGUGAGUGUUUGCUGUGUAUUUGACAUUUGCUAUGAAUUGAUGUGUAGUGAAUUAUGCUUUGACUUUUUGAGAGUUGUGAUGACCCUUUACCCUCUGAUAACCCUCCUCCUAGUGCUCAUAGGAGCACUAGUAAGUCAACAAGAAAAUGAAGGCACUCACCUAGCAAUGAGGACAUCACCAUGGCAACCUGAGGCCACUUUUAGAGACCAGCUAUGUGCUGAUAUGUUAAUGAGCUAACCCUAAGGUGGCUGUCAGCAGCUAGAGUGACUGAGGUGAAAAUAGGUAUAAAAACCCAGCAAAAGCUCAGAACACUGUCACUCAACUCAGAGAGACAGACUCCAUGUCCCUCUUUGUAUUGAUACCCACCGUGAGGAGGAGGAGCAGCCUGAGGGAGCCUCCCCCCCAUACCAGGGUCAGAGCAGAGCACAUGGGGAGGGCUAACCCAGAUACUGACCAGGGACCAAGUGUCCUCACAGGUGGGCUGCCUGGGGCUAGGCUAUAUUUGAGAGGAUGGUAUAAGUGAGAAGUCCUAACUCAAAAUAAUGUAUGUGUGAAGUGAAUAAAAGUGUGGCAGAUGAAUUGAUGAUUCUACCUCUCAACUACUUAA